RNAcentral lists this ribosomal RNA (424 nucleotides) under uncultured bacterium. Its description in RNAcentral is "bacterial SSU rRNA". It matches the Rfam family "Bacterial small subunit ribosomal RNA", at positions 356 to 773 of the family's 1533-position model. The record is from RNAcentral.
AGGGAAUCUUCCGCAAUGGACGAAAGUCUGACGGAGCAACGCCGCGUGAGUGAUGAAGGUUUUCGGAUCGUAAAGCUCUGUUGCCAGGGAAGAACGUCCGUUAGAGUAACUGCUAACGGAGUGACGGUACCUGAGAAGAAAGCCCCGGCUAACUACGUGCCAGCAGCCGCGGUAAUACGUAGGGGGCGAGCGUUGUCCGGAAUUAUUGGGCGUAAAGCGCGCGCAGGCGGCUGUUUAAGUCUGGGGUAUAACCCUGGGGCUCAACCCCGGGUCGCACUGGAAACUGGACGGCUUGAGUGCAGAAGAGGAGAGUGGAAUUCCACGUGUAGCGGUGAAAUGCGUAGAGAUGUGGAGGAACACCAGUGGCGAAGGCGACUCUCUGGGCUGUAACUGACGCUGAGGCGCGAAAGCGUGGGGAGCAAAC